UACGCUCCUCUCGAUCCCCUCGGCGCACGCUCCUCUCGCCGCCCCGGACCUGACAGCGGAGGGGCGAUCUCGCCGCCGCGGACCUCACAAGGAAUUCCCCUUAUCAGAUCUGGCGGAGGGAGACCCUAUGUCGAACCCUCCCUACCUCUCGUUCCUCCAUCCCCGUCGAGCGCCGCCGCCCUCUCCCCGAUCUAGAUCCGCGCCCCAUCUUCUGGUCUACCUCUUGCUGAAGUCGUGGUGUUGUGGUCAGGGCCCGAUCUCUCUGGCGGAUCUGGAUGGAGGGCGGGGGAGGGCGAGGGCGAGCUCGCCGUCUCCCUCGCGCUCGACGCUAGCGGGGACGCGGGCUUCGACGCGACCGCCUACAUGGGCAUGCUCCGGGCGCGGCGCUUCGGGAGGUGGAUGCGUUGGUCGCCGCAGAUGGCAUCCACGCACGACCUCGUGACACAGAACUUCGCCAAACUUCCGAUGGGCGUCGUGGGCGCCACAGACAUGCAGUUCAAAGGCAGAGUUCAGUUAACUCAAGCUAUUACAAUUCACUCAGUCGCGGCGUCUCUAGGGGCAGCAGAAGAACCGUGGGUGUGAUCCGUGAGCACAGACGCGCAGAUCUGUGGGGAAGCAACAUGCAGACAUGGAUGGAAGAUGGGAGACCUAGCUCUAGCUGCCUGAGCUGUCCACCGGCAAGAUGAACCCACAAGCACCAUGGUGGACAAAGAGGAGUGUGCGUACAAUAUUAAAGGAGGGGAUGGGGGUAAAGAGAUACAAUCCCUACUGCCCACAUUAUCUAAGCUCUAAAUCUCGUGCUGCCCACGUUGCCAAAGCCCCAAGGAAGGCUUCGACCUCUCCCUUCAGGAUGCCCUCUCUCUUGGGGACUUUGUGUAAAUUGUUCAGUGCGGCGAGACGGCCGGUGUGUGCGCUGGGGCACUGGCGAGACUCCCUGACAGGCAUAUUCUGGGGACCAGCAACUCCGACGACCGGAGGUAGAGGGUUAUUUGCUCGAAGAAGUACAAGAAGAGAGCAAGAGGCUGGCCUCCAAGAUCAAUGCUGAAAUAGAUGAAGAAUGCAUGCCCAACUGCAGCCAUGACAUGUGCAUCAAGUGCUACAGUCAAUGGUCAGUAAGAAUACAACGCAUGAUCCCAGUUAUUAUGUUUCCUGCCAUGUUCAUUCAACUAGAGCAAACAUGUUUGGUGUUUGGUUUAAUGCGAGCUUCGGAGAUAUCACUCAACACUUCAUUCUGGUGUUAUUAAGUGCUUCAGCAGACACAAAUGUAGCAUAUUUUUACUGAUAGCAAUGCACUAUGAGUAAUUAAGCUGGUGUGACCAUCAUUUAUUGAAAAUAUGCUGCAACCUAUGCAUCUGCUUACCAGUAUUGUCCUUGGCAACUUCAACCAAACUUUUAUUUUAGUUGAUUCCACCUUCUAUGGUUUUAGAAAUUCAUUGUUUUUGUAUGCUUAAUUGAGCAGAGCUCGUUCAUAGUGAUCUUCUGCCAAUGACACAAAUGUAGGAAUGAGAUACACAUGCAAUGUAAGAAACAGAGAAAGGAAGCUAAAAGUUGAAAGCAUUAUAUGUUUUUGUGACUAUACAUAUUAGUAUUGCCUUAAAAAUUGAAUAAGGAAUAUUUUAUUUGGUAUGUACCACAAAAUGUGUUCGUCCAGUAGGUGAUGGUUUGUUCAUUCUUCUCCAAGGUGCGGAUAUAUUUGGACUUUUGCAACUAUGCUUGUGCCUGGUUUUACUGAUUACGAGACAUCUCCAGAUGAUUGGUUAUCUGGCCAUAUUUUCCAACUGUAUAAGCUUUGUGAAAUCUUGAGAUCUUCCUCGUUUUAGCUAAUUCAGUGUUCUGUAUAACAGUGAUUUUGCAGAGAUAUUGGAUGUUAACUUAUUCAUAUCCUCAUCCUAAAGAUCAUAUGACAAGUACUUGAUAUAAUUUUGCUUUCAAAAAUGAAAACACCUAGGUGAUUAUCCUGGCUAUCAUAUCUGUACAAGCAAGAUUAUCAUAAUAACUAAGCAAUUUUUUCUUCAUGUUAUUAUACAAUGCUUAAUUUGAUUCAACAAGGAUAAUGAUACUGCAAGGCUUGAAAAUUUUAGACUAUGAUCACUUUGUAUGCCAAGCUGGAAAUUUGACGUGCCUUAAAGCACCUACAGCUGGAGUGGCAAAUCCGGGUGACUCAAACGCCCUGCGGAUGUGUCUGCGAGCACUGUCCGGCCAGUCGUCAAAAAUCGCCGUCCACAUCCGUGUUUCUCAUAUCCAAUCCACAUAUGUGUAUCUCAUAUCCACUGACCUGUCAUAUCUCAGGUCUUAUAUAUGCAACCAGUAAAUUAUUUGGGAUGCCUGGCUGUAUGGGUGGCAGCCACCGUCCCUGUUAUUGCCUCCAGGGUUGGUCCGCCCCUCUUCCCAUAUGUCGACGCCGGUCAGUGUGCUCCUGGUUUCUACAGAAGUAGAGGCGACCAGGAGGGCACGUAUGGGUGUGUACAUGGAAAGGACCACUAUGAUCAUGCUCGAUUUGCUCCGAGCAGGAGGACUAUGCAUCAAUUCCAUCGCCAUCUGUGAGAUCUCCCUCUUCAAGGAUGCGCAACAUCCAAACAUAUGGUUGCAGGACGAGGUGCACACCUGCACCAUGAGAAGUGCAUAUGCCGACUCAUCCCAGAGACCCGAACUUCAAGAACUUUCUCGUCGAGCACCUCAUGCGGAGAGGCUUUGAGAAGUUAGGUUUUCCUCGAGGAGGAUCUUCUAACCAGAAUAAACAUUCUAGCCCAAAGCUCCAUCUCAUAUGGGGACCAACAAUGUACCAUUUUGAUGAUCUCCAUUCCCUGUGAGCAACUUGAUAGAGUCGAGUCCAAGUCCUCCGUUCGGAGCUGAAGCAAGUUGUCGCCUUCGGUCAGGUCACCCCCUAUUUUUCAUGGUGGAUGAGAUUGGAGGGUGGGGGACAAUACCUACUCUGGAGUCACUAGGUCUAAGUGUGGCAAAGUUAGGUCCAGGCUAUGAGGUCUGAUUGUGCUUGCAGAUUGGAAUUGUUGAAAACCUUAGCCUUCCUGAUCUAGCUAACAAAGAUUUUCAUGUGGCAAUAACGCGUGGAGGAUGACGGUCACGAGCGCAUUGUCGCAAGCUCACCGGAGGGAGGCACACAUCUCAUCCAAUAGAAAAGCACGCUCCAAAAAAUCCCUAACCCUCCAUGGAGCCAUUGCUAGGGAGCGACGAGAUCAACGCCACCCACCACGACCACCGAGUUGUACAAGUGCAGAGAUUUCUUGCCUGGCGUAUAACAAUGCGUGUUCAAUGGGGUAGCCUCUUCUCACGCACAAGUCUCAAGAGAGGCAGACAUCGACAACUAUUCAGAAUAACCACAACAAAAUUCUGACACAGGUGGUUAGUGGGAGAAGGAACCUGAGACCGCAACCGAUUCUGCUGCAAGGGUGGUGUGUAGAAGAUAGUUGUAGCAAGCAUAUAAGUCACUCUGGAAAAAGGCUUCGUGACUGAGCUGGCGAAGAAGAUGUCAGUGGUGGAAGCGGACAUGUUAUAGAAGAUGUUGAGGGUGGCACCGGAGGUAAUGGACAAAUGGGGUUCCUCGGCACCGAAGAGAAGGAUGCUGCAGCGACACCGACACGUACUGGGUUCCAUUUCCAACCAGAGAGAGCUUAUGAACGGUAUAUGCGUGAUCCAUUCAUUCUUUCGUUUGAUCCUUCCUUAUUCCUCUCAACUCAGAUUAAUUUUAUUUUGUAAUUAUGCAUGAUUUUGAUGGAUCAAUAAAUUUAGUGGCAUUAAUUGCAAUGAGAAAUAUCGUAUAUCCAUAAACUUCACUUUGUUGUUUUUCAGCUGAACAUGAUAGUUUGUGUCUUUUUGUUAUGGACUUCAAUAUGGUCAAUGGUAGCUUGCUGAAUAAAGCAAGACCCAACACAUAAUUUCAUGCCGAGAGUUUGACCUGUUUAAUUUUGUACGGAAAAUAUUUGCUGCUAAUAAUGAGAAAGUUCUGAUUUGUAAAUGCAAUAUUCUUCCAUGUAUACGGAAUUACAGAUUGAACAAAAUAUAAGCCAAAGUUGAAUCUCAAGCCUUAAUUAAUACUAAAAAAUAAUAUAGGUUUGGUAUAUGUGUAGAAUAGGAUAUUUUUCCUUGAGAAUCUACUAGAUGAGGUGGUCGUUGUCGACAUCCUUGUGAAAGUUCGCAUGAUCUUAGCACGAACCAACUCACAAUGUUAUCUCGAGCAAUGCUUUAUUCACUUAAGUCUCUUUUUUAGGAAAACACUAGGUUAAAAGCCUACUGUGAAAAAUUAUAUGCAAAGUUAUUAUAAUUGCCAUUUAUGGUCACGAAUGAUCUUACUGAAUGACUGUUCUCAUGGCCUUCAAAGAAGAGAUAUACUAGAAGUUGAGUGCAGUUGGAGGGGCCUUAGUCCUUAUGAGCCAAGAAAAGUAGAUGUGGCCUGUCCAAGCUUUGAAUAGUAGAUGGGGGAAUGUUAAAAUAUUUUAUGAUGCCAUGGUUCUAAAUGGUCAGGUAUGUGUCGCAACUUGUUUUUUUUCAUGGGAUGAUUGGUCUUAAGCAUAAAAAGCCAUCCAUGUGCCACCUAUCAUUUGUAAUGCACAAUAUCGAGUUCUAUGUUUUUGUACCACUUUCUUUAUUUUCUACAUUAGAUCUGACAAUAUAUGUUAGUGAAUUACAUUUUUAUUGAAAUAGAUUACAAGUGAAGAGGAUUUCAAUUGUUUUUUGUAUGUUAUUGGCUAACUUUUUUAUACGUGCGAAAUUUGAUAUGCAAUCAGUAACAACCAACCCACAAUGAAUAGGCAGACAUACUAAUGCUAUUAAUAACCCAAUAUCAACAAAAGAAUGUUCUUAAUUUUUUUAGGCCCGUGGCAACGCACGGGCACUCUACUAGUACCUAGCUAGUUUUGCACUCUCCAUUCUUGCUCCCACAACAAAACUUCCGAAUUAACAAAUUAACAUGUUAACUUAGGCCCCUUGGAAGUUUAAAGCAGGACACUGAGUAAACAUGAAUUGCAUGAGCCACAGACUUUAGUUCGCAAAAAAAAAGACUUUAUCAUAAUGUCCUUUCCUCCAACGGAGAGAAGUUUUUCCUUCCAUCCCCUGAACUGGUUCCACACGCUAUCCUUCAAAUACUUAAAUGCAUCAUUCUUUGAAUCACCAACAUCAGAAGGCAUCCCCAAAUACUCUUUGGACAAAGAUUCAUUUGGUACCUGGAGAUGGGUUUCCACCUCCAUUCGGACUAACUCCGGUCAACCUUUGCUGAAAAAGGUUGAAGAUUUGAUAAAUUAGUUCUUUGCGCUGUGGACCGAUACAAAAUCGUGUUGGAUGGCUUCCGGGUCUGGGCUGCUGAGUUCGGACGGAUGCGGAUGGUUUGAGGGGUCGGCGUUGGAGAUGCCUAUAAAUAGGUAUAGAAGACAUGAGUAGAAGACUCAGUCUUUUUCUAUUUGACCUUUUUACUGUCCACGUACCUGGUAGAAAUUGAAUACCCGUGAGCCGUGACCACCACUUACUCAUUCAGUCAUGCAACGAAAUGCUCAGUCAGACAAAAUACUCAUUCAGUCAUAAAAGGGAAAGAAAAGUCAAAGAUGGCCAAAGGCUCUCGAUGAAUGCAACCUGCACACACCUAACAGGAAUCGAUAGCCGGUCAACAAAAGGAUAGACAUGGUCGUCGACGCAAACGCUGACUUAUGAUUUUUCAAAGAAAAACUGCCGGUCAAAUGUAGCGGCCGGAGUCUGCAAAGUCCGAUCGAUCUUUUUUUGACUCGUCUACGCAUGCCGAUUGAGAUUUAUGCACACACGUCGCACUCGGCACAGCUACCACUACCAGGACGGCGGGUAUAAAUACGGCAUCGGUGCAGCGCAGCUGUGCAGGCUGUAGCUCCUCCAAGCACACAGAAGUAACACACGCAUCCUUCCUUGCUUCCUUCAGGCUUCAACCAUGG
Molecule: long non-coding RNA, 5909 nt
Organism: Triticum dicoccoides
Lineage: Eukaryota; Viridiplantae; Streptophyta; Magnoliopsida; Poales; Poaceae
Exons: 12
Source: RefSeq, a predicted model, not a curated record